This is a long non-coding RNA of Anopheles arabiensis, 1072 nucleotides long. RefSeq lists it as uncharacterized. NCBI's taxonomy places the organism in Eukaryota, Metazoa, Arthropoda, Insecta, Diptera, Culicidae. The transcript has 2 exons. The record is from RefSeq and is a predicted model, not a curated record.
AAACGACCGGUGCGUGUAAUGAUUCCCAAAAAAGUGUACUGUACGCAACACUUCACGAGCGACUGUCCACGGUGACACGUUGAUGGAUGAGUACCGCUUCUACUAGCGCUACCUGUCGGAAUAGCUGGAAGGCUUGCGGAUGGUGCCACGUGUGCGUCAUCCUAGCGCACCCAGCUGCGAUCGUUAUCUUGACGGUGGGACUUUGUUCUGGCUGCCCCUUUGCUAGAGCUGUCACGGGAGUGGCCAUGUUAAUUAGAAUCGUAAAGUUGGCCCGAAAACGGUCAAAUCGUGCUACCGUAAUGGAUGAAACGAGUUGAUGGAAUGGAAAAUUUGCAUAGAAAAAUGGAUUUCCUAAAACGUAUGCGUGCUGUGUACCUUCGCAGGAGCUAACAAUGUUUGCAAAAAUAUCGCAAACUAUCGAUCAAACUGUACACGAACUCUACAUCUUGCAAAACCACAACGAACAACUCUAUUGAGAGCAUGAGCAAAACGUCAAGCAGCAAACAUCCUGCAGCGCUUCGGGUCACUGAAUCAUUAAUAAUUCGAUCAUCUAUCCAUUAAUCAAUGCUGACAUCAGGCUGAUUACCAAUUUCUGCCCCAAUUCGUUUCCAUCUUGCCGGCUGGUAAUCGUGAAUAAAAAGAAUCACACAAGAAACGCAAUAGCGCAUACUCGUCUUUUCGAAACUGGAUGGAAAUUUGAAGACCAAAACUAUGUAAAACUAUUUCUGAAGAAAAAACGAGUGUUAUGAGUAACGAUGUGACCUACGAAGUCAGUGCUCUCAGUAAAUAGCAAGGAUUUUGCCCGUACAGAUGAGAAGAUGAUGAGGUUGUUGAUGAAGUUGAUUACCCAUACUCCACAAUUCGUGGCCCACACGACGAUACACACUCUACAAGCAAACCCAACAUUCCGGCCGGACUGGUUAUCGCAAGAAAGAAUUGCCCCUCCUUUGCUCUGAUGAGGUUGGAACCGUUCUCACCAGGCUACUGUGCUGGCAAGCACUGCGAGCACUGCGAAGCUUCCCUUUUGACCCCGUGCCAUUAGACGAAAAUGCAAUUUCAGGAUACAAAUGUC